This 891-nucleotide long non-coding RNA is filed under the name Trifolium pratense (red clover). RNAcentral describes it as "long non-coding RNA (TPRA_LNC002981)". Lineage: Eukaryota; Viridiplantae; Streptophyta; Magnoliopsida; Fabales; Fabaceae. The record is from RNAcentral.
AGUGGCGAUUCCAAGAAUAUUAGAGAGCCUAGGAAAAAUUUUGGAGGGAAUUUUAUCAACCAAAUUUCUGGAUACAAUAAUAUUUAAACCAGCAAAAACUUCUUCAUCUCUGAACUUAAAUGAUGCAAAAUUAAGACAUAAGCUUACAGCAAGGAAAAACACAGGACACCAAGGUCUGGCUAAAAACAAAUAGAAAUAGCAGCAGAAAAAUAAACCAACAGAGGACCGAAAUUUGGAUAAAGAAACAUGAAAACAGCUUAACAGUCAAAACAACUUAUUUAUAUAAUCACUUAACAAUCAAAACAGUUUAACAAAUUUUAAAUUGGACAUAAAAACAGCUUAAUAAUCAAAACAACUUAUUUAUAUAAUCACAUAACAAUCAAAAACAGCUUAAAUUUUUUUAAAUUGAACAUAAAAACAGCUUAACAAUCAAAACAACUUAUUUAUAUAAUCACUUAAUAAUCAAAACAGCUUAACAAAUUUAAAAUUCAAUACAGAGGUUUUAGUUUUAGGUUGCUUACCUCAAAUCUAACGGACAAAUAGAGCGACAAGAAACAAAUUUAACGGAAACAAACAAAUAGAGCGACAAGACGACGAGGUUUUAGUUUUAGGUUGCUUACCUCAAAUCUGCGAGAGGGAGAGAGAGAGUGAGUGAGAGCGAUGGUGCGGCGGAAUUGAAAGCGGUUGGGAGAUUGAACGGCGACGGCGAGUGACAGAGAGAGAGCGGCGGCGGCGACCGUAAGGGCUGAGAGAGAAAUAGUAAGGUUAAUGAACUUUUCUUUCUUCUGUUUCAAUUUUAACGCAACUGAGUUUUUAUUUCUUUUGUUUUUUUUUGUAGUUCUUUUGUUUUAUUAUAAAAAAAAAAUAUUAAAAAUUGGCAGCCUAGGCACG